RNAcentral lists this ribosomal RNA (633 nucleotides) under uncultured bacterium. RNAcentral describes it as "bacterial SSU rRNA". The stretch from base 1 to 546 matches the Rfam family "Bacterial small subunit ribosomal RNA", at positions 338 to 873 of the family's 1533-position model. The record is from RNAcentral.
CCUACGGGAGGCAGCAGUGGGGAAUUUUGGACAAUGGGGGAAACCCUGAUCCAGCAAUGCCGCGUGUGUGAAGAAGGCCUUCGGGUUGUAAAGCACUUUUAUUCGGAGAGAAAUCCCUUGGGCUAAUACCCUGAGGGUCUGACGGUACCGGAUGAAUAAGCGCCGGCUAACUACGUGCCAGCAGCCGCGGUAAUACGUAGGGCGCGAGCGUUAAUCGGAAUUACUGGGCGUAAAGCGUGCGCAGGCGGUUUUGUAAGACAGAUGUGAAAGCCCCGGGCUCAACCUGGGAAUUGCAUUUGUGACUGCAAGGCUAGAGUGUGUCAGAGGGAGGUGGAAUUCCGCGUGUAGCAGUGAAAUGCGUAGAGAUGCGGAGGAACACCGAUGGCGAAGGCAGCCUCCUGGGGAUAACACUGACGCUCAUGCACGAAAAGCGUGGGGAGCAAACAGGAUUAGAUACCCUGGUAGUCCACGCCCUAAACGAUGUCAACUAGUUGUCGGGAAUUAAAUUUCUUGGUAACGCAGCUAACGCGUGAAAGUUGAACCGCCGUGGGAGGUACGGCCGCGAAGUUAAAACGUAACGAAAGUAAGUAGACGGACGUGAGACGNGACGACGGACGACGACGAGGGAGGAGG